RNAcentral lists this ribosomal RNA (171 nucleotides) under uncultured bacterium. Its description in RNAcentral is "partial 16S ribosomal RNA". It matches the Rfam family "Bacterial small subunit ribosomal RNA", at positions 337 to 522 of the family's 1533-position model. The record is from RNAcentral.
UCCUACGGGAGGCAGCAGUGGGGAAUAUUGGGCAAUGGGGGAAACCCUGACCCAGCGACGCCGCGUGCGGGAAGAAGGUCUUCGGAUUGUAAACCGCUUUUAUUAGGGACGAAGCAAGUGACGGUACCUAAUGAAUAAGCCACGGCUAACUACGUGCCAGCAGCCGCGGUA